CCCUGAAUGACAGUAGAGUGUGUAAUUCAAAUUUGCGAACUUUUAACGGAGUAAGUCGGGGUAUGAGGAGUCGCGCAGCAAAAGAUCGAACAUUUUAUGGAUUUUUACGGACUAAAAAAGGUUUGUGAUUGCUAAUUAAAGACGAUGUAUUACGGAUCUCACCGAACUGUGGCACUGCAGCAAAAAUUCAUGUCGCCGUCACACCCACAAACGUCUGUGGCCACUCCUACAUAUUU
This is a non-coding RNA of Paramuricea clavata, 236 nucleotides long. Lineage: Eukaryota; Metazoa; Cnidaria; Anthozoa; Malacalcyonacea; Plexauridae. The record is from the annotation of a GenBank genome assembly.